This 73-nucleotide transfer RNA is filed under the name Armatimonadota bacterium. Its description in RNAcentral is "Armatimonadetes bacterium (soil metagenome) tRNA-Ala". It matches the Rfam family "tRNA". From Rfam's summary of the family: Transfer RNA (tRNA) molecules are approximately 80 nucleotides in length. Their secondary structure includes four short double-helical elements and three loops (D, anti-codon, and T loops). The record is from RNAcentral. Lineage: Bacteria; Bacillati; Armatimonadota.
GGGGCUUUAGCUCAUCUGGGAGAGCGUCGGUUUUGCAUACCGAAGGUGAGCGGUUCGAGUCCGCUAAGCUCCA